CGGGUGACAGGUGGUGCAUGGUUGUCGUCAGCUCGUGUCGUGAGAUGUUGGGUUAAGUCCCGCAACGAGCGCAACCCUCGCCUCUAGUUGCCAGCAUUCGGUUGGGCACUCUAGAGGGACUGCCGGCGACAAGUCGGAGGAAGUGGGAUGACGUCAAAUCAUCAUGCCCCUUAUGACCUGGGCUACACACGUGCUACAAUGGGCGGUACAAAGGGCUGCGAACCCGCGAGGGGGAGCGAAUCCCAAAAAGCCGCUCUCAGUUCGGAUUGCAGGCUGCAACUCGCCUGCAUGAAGCCGGAAUCGCUAGUAAUCGCGGAUCAGCAUGCCGCGGUGAAUACGUUCCCGGGCCUU
RNAcentral lists this ribosomal RNA (351 nucleotides) under uncultured Geobacillus sp. RNAcentral's name for it is "bacterial SSU rRNA". It matches the Rfam family "Bacterial small subunit ribosomal RNA", at positions 1028 to 1382 of the family's 1533-position model. The record is from RNAcentral. Lineage: Bacteria; Bacillati; Bacillota; Bacilli; Caryophanales; Anoxybacillaceae.